This is a long non-coding RNA of Aphis gossypii (cotton aphid), 672 nucleotides long. RefSeq lists it as uncharacterized. The record is from RefSeq and is a predicted model, not a curated record. Lineage: Eukaryota; Metazoa; Arthropoda; Insecta; Hemiptera; Aphididae. The transcript has 3 exons.
UAAAAGAAUUCUUGGAAUAUUCCAGAAAAUAAAUGGAAUUCAUGGAUACAUUAUUGGAUAUAAUACUUAAUUUAAGGUUAUAAAUGCAGGGAAUCUUGGAAAGUUCAGAAAAAAAUGGAAUUAAUUGAGAAAUUAUUAGAAAUCAUACAUAUUUAAGGUUAUAAAUGCAAGGAAUCUUGGAAAUACCAAGAAAAAUAUAUGAAUUUAUGGAUACUUUAUUGGAUAUAAUACUUAAUUUAAGGUUAUAAAUGCAGGGAAUCUUGGAAAGUUCAGAAAAAAAUGGAAUUAAUUGAGAAAUUAUUAGAAAUCAUACAUAUUUAAGGUUAUAAAUGCAAGGAAUCUUGGAAAUACCAAGAAAAAUAUAUGAAUUUAUGGAUACUUUAUUGGAUAUAAUACUUAAUUUAAGGUUAUAAAUGAAGGGAAUCUUGGAAAGUUCAGAAAAAAAUGGAAUUAAUUGAGAAAUUAUUAGAAAUCAUACAUAUUUAAGGUUAUAAAUGCAAGGAAUCUUGGAAAUACCAAGAAAAAUAUAUGAAUUUAUGGAUACUUUAUUGGAUAAAAUACAUAUUUAUUGUUAUAAAUGAAAGGAAUCUUGGAUAUACCAAGAAAAAUAUUAGAAUUAAUGAUGAUUCUUUUUGAAAUCAUACAUUUUUUAGGUCACUAAUAAAAGAAUUC